UAGAGUUUGAUCAUGGCUCAGUGACGAACGCUGGCGGCGCGCCUAACACAUGCAAGUCGAACGAGGUCAUUUAGGAGCUUGCUCCUGGCUGAUCUAGUGGCGGACGGGUGAGUAACACGUGAGCAACCUGCCGAGGAGUGGGGAAUAACGUUUGGAAACGAACGCUAAUACCGCAUGAUAUAUUGGGAAGGCAUCUUCCCUUUAUCAAAGGAGAAAUCCGCUCUUUGAUGGGCUCGCGCCUGAUUAGAUAGUUGGUGGGGUAAAGGCCUACCAAGUCUGCGAUCAGUAGCCGGACUGAGAGGUUGAACGGCCACAUUGGGACUGAGACACGGCCCAGACUCCUACGGGAGGCAGCAGUGGGGGAUAUUGCACAAUGGGGGAAACCCUGAUGCAGCGACGCCGCGUGAGUGAAGACGGCCUUCGGGUUGUAAAAGCUCUGUGGUGGGGGACGAUAAUGACGGUA
This 463-nucleotide ribosomal RNA is filed under the name uncultured Eubacteriales bacterium. RNAcentral's name for it is "bacterial SSU rRNA". It matches the Rfam family "Bacterial small subunit ribosomal RNA", at positions 1 to 477 of the family's 1533-position model. Lineage: Bacteria; Bacillati; Bacillota; Clostridia; Eubacteriales. The record is from RNAcentral.